UUAAGCGACUAAGCGUACACGGUGGAUGCCCUGGCAGUCAGAGGCGAUGAAGGACGUGCUAAUCUGCGAAAAGCGUCGGUAAGGUGAUAUGAACCGUUAUAACCGGCGAUGUCCGAAUGGGGAAACCCAGUGCAAUUCGUUGCACUAUCGUUAACUGAAUACAUAGGUUAACGAGGCGAACCGGGGGAACUGAAACAUCUAAGUACCCCGAGGAAAAGAAAUCAACCGAGAUUCCCCCAGUAGCGGCGAGCGAACGGGGAGCAGCCCAGAGUCUGAAUCAGCUUGUGUGUUAGUGGAACGGUCUGGAAAGUCCGACGGUACAGGGUGAUAGUCCCGUACACCAAAAUGCACAGGUUGUGAACUCGAAGAGUAGGGCGGGACACGUGGUAUCCUGUCUGAAUAUGGGGGGACCAUCCUCCAAGGCUAAAUACUCCUGACUGACCGAUAGUGAACCAGUACCGUGAGGGAAAGGCGAAAAGAACCCCGGCGAGGGGAGUGAAAAAGAACCUGAAACCGUGUACGUACAAGCAGUGGGAGCACCUUCGGGUGUGACUGCGUACCUUUUGUAUAAUGGGUCAGCGACUUAUAUUCUGUAGCAAGGUUAACCGUAUAGGGGAGCCGCAGGGAAACCGAGUCUUAACUGGGCGUUAAGUUGCAGGGUAUAGACCCGAAACCCGGUGAUCUAGCCAUGGGCAGGUUGAAGGUUGGGUAACACUAACUGGAGGACCGAACCGACUAAUGUUGAAAAAUUAGCGGAUGACUUGUGGCUGGGGGUGAAAGGCCAAUCAAACCGGGAGAUAGCUGGUUCUCCCCGAAAGCUAUUUAGGUAGCGCCUCGUGAACUCAUCUUCGGGGGUAGAGCACUGUUUCGGCUAGGGGGUCAUCCCGACUUACCAACCCGAUGCAAACUACGAAUACCGAAGAAUGUUAUCACGGGAGACACACGGCGGGUGCUAACGUCCGUCGUGAAGAGGGAAACAACCCAGACCGCCAGCUAAGGUCCCAAAGUCAUGGUUAAGUGGGAAACGAUGUGGGAAGGCACAGACAGCCAGGAUGUUGGCUUAGAAGCAGCCAUCAUUUAAAGAAAGCGUAAUAGCUCACUGGUCGAGUCGGCCUGCGCGGAAGAUGUAACGGGGCUAAACCAUGCACCGAAGCUGCGGCAGCGACACUAUGUGUUGUUGGGUAGGGGAGCGUUCUGUAAGCCUGCGAAGGUGACCUGUGAGGGUUGCUGGAGGUAUCAGAAGUGCGAAUGCUGACAUAAGUAACGAUAAAGCGGGUGAAAAGCCCGCUCGCCGGAAGACCAAGGGUUCCUGUCCAACGUUAAUCGGGGCAGGGUGAGUCGACCCCUAAGGCGAGGCCGAAAGGCGUAGUCGAUGGGAAACAGGUUAAUAUUCCUGUACUUGGUGUUACUGCGAAGGGGGGACGGAGAAGGCUAUGUUAGCCGGGCGACGGUUGUCCCGGUUUAAGCAUGUAGGCUGAUUGUCCAGGCAAAUCCGGAUAAUCAAGGCUGAGGUGUGAUGACGAGGCACUACGGUGCUGAAGUAACAAAUGCCCUGCUUCCAGGAAAAGCCUCUAAGCAUCAGGUAACAUUAAAUCGUACCCCAAACCGACACAGGUGGUCAGGUAGAGAAUACCAAGGCGCUUGAGAGAACUCGGGUGAAGGAACUAGGCAAAAUGGUGCCGUAACUUCGGGAGAAGGCACGCUGGUGUGUAGGUGAAGUCCCUGCGGAUGGAGCUGAGACCAGUCGAAGAUACCAGCUGGCUGCAACUGUUUAUUAAAAACACAGCACUGUGCAAACACGAAAGUGGACGUAUACGGUGUGACGCCUGCCCGGUGCCGGAAGGUUAAUUGAUGGGGUUAUCCGUAAGGAGAAGCUCUUGAUCGAAGCCCCGGUAAACGGCGGCCGUAACUAUAACGGUCCUAAGGUAGCGAAAUUCCUUGUCGGGUAAGUUCCGACCUGCACGAAUGGCGUAAUGAUGGCCAGGCUGUCUCCACCCGAGACUCAGUGAAAUUGAACUCGCUGUGAAGAUGCAGUGUACCCGCGGCAAGACGGAAAGACCCCGUGAACCUUUACUAUAGCUUGACACUGAACAUUGAGCCUUGAUGUGUAGGAUAGGUGGGAGGCUUUGAAGCGUGGACGCCAGUCUGCGUGGAGCCAACCUUGAAAUACCACCCUUUAAUGUUUGAUGUUCUAACGUUGGCCCCUGACCGGGGUUGCGGACAGUGUCUGGUGGGUAGUUUGACUGGGGCGGUCUCCUCCCAAAGCGUAACGGAGGAGCACGAAGGUUAGCUAAUCCUGGUCGGACAUCAGGAGGUUAGUGCAAUGGCAUAAGCUAGCUUGACUGCGAGCGUGACGGCGCGAGCAGGUGCGAAAGCAGGUCAUAGUGAUCCGGUGGUUCUGAAUGGAAGGGCCAUCGCUCAACGGAUAAAAGGUACUCCGGGGAUAACAGGCUGAUACCGCCCAAGAGUUCAUAUCGACGGCGGUGUUUGGCACCUCGAUGUCGGCUCAUCACAUCCUGGGGCUGAAGUAGGUCCCAAGGGUAUGGCUGUUCGCCAUUUAAAGUGGUACGCGAGCUGGGUUUAGAACGUCGUGAGACAGUUCGGUCCCUAUCUGCCGUGGGCGCUGGAGAAUUGAGGGGGGCUGCUCCUAGUACGAGAGGACCGGAGUGGACGCAUCACUGGUGUUCGGGUUGUCAUGCCAAUGGCACUGCCCGGUAGCUAAAUGCGGAAGAGAUAAGUGCUGAAAGCAUCUAAGCACGAAACUUGCCCCGAGAUGAGUUCUCCCUGAGACUUUAAGUCUCCUGAAGGAACGUUAAAGACGAUGACGUUGAUAGGCCGGGUGUGUAAGCGCAGCGAUGCGUUGAGCUAACCGGUACUAAUGAACCGUGAGGCUUAACCUU
This 2900-nucleotide ribosomal RNA is filed under the name Klebsiella pneumoniae. RNAcentral describes it as "bacterial LSU rRNA". It matches the Rfam family "Bacterial large subunit ribosomal RNA". Lineage: Bacteria; Pseudomonadati; Pseudomonadota; Gammaproteobacteria; Enterobacterales; Enterobacteriaceae. The record is from RNAcentral.